Molecule: transfer RNA, 71 nt
Filed under: Loxodonta africana (African savanna elephant)
Lineage: Eukaryota; Metazoa; Chordata; Mammalia; Proboscidea; Elephantidae
Rfam family: tRNA
About the family: Transfer RNA (tRNA) molecules are approximately 80 nucleotides in length. Their secondary structure includes four short double-helical elements and three loops (D, anti-codon, and T loops). Further hydrogen bonds mediate the characteristic L-shaped molecular structure. tRNAs have two regions of fundamental functional importance: the anti-codon, which is responsible for specific mRNA codon recognition, and the 3' end, to which the tRNAs corresponding amino acid is attached (by aminoacyl-tRNA synthetases). tRNAs cope with the degeneracy of the genetic code in two manners: having more than one tRNA (with a specific anti-codon) for a particular amino acid; and 'wobble' base-pairing, i.e. permitting non-standard base-pairing at the 3rd anti-codon position.
Source: Rfam by way of RNAcentral
GCUCUUGGCUCAAACAAUUAAGUGCUUGACUAUUAACCAAAAGGUUGGUGGUUCGAAUCCACCCAAAGGCA